Molecule: long non-coding RNA, 1191 nt
Filed under: Macaca fascicularis (crab-eating macaque)
Lineage: Eukaryota; Metazoa; Chordata; Mammalia; Primates; Cercopithecidae
Description: lncRNA (ENSMFAG00000049456.1)
Source: RNAcentral
AUGGAGAUGCUCGGAAAACACUGGGCAAUAGUAUGGAGCCGCGUGAGCCAGGCACACCCUUCCAUGAUCUCCUUCAAACACGAAACAGCAAAGCCCACACACCGCCCGGCUCCUCGCCGCUUCCAUCCUCAGGUGCUAGCCCACAUAUGGGUGCGAAUGAGAACACACGCGGCGUGGGCGCGCUCGGGGUCAACGGCAGUGGAGAGGUGGGUGGGUGUAGGUGAGCGGCGGAGGAGGGAGGGAGAGAGGAAGAAGGGGACCGACGGAGGGGGAGCGAGAGGGGCGCGCUGGGGCUCACAUCUGCACCGCCGCCCCACCCGCCACCUGGAGCGCGCCGCCCAGGGCAGGGGCGCCUGGACCAGAGUGGACGCCGGGCAGCGCCAGGGCGCCCCAGGGGCGGCCGUGGGCGCCGGGCUCUGCCGGCGCAGGGUGCGCGCGCGCGCUCUCAGCCGCGCCCCGAGCCGGGCUAGGGACCCCGGGCCUCUGGGCUCCGCGGCGCCGGCGCCCUCUGCCCCCGCGCGGCUGGCCAGGCAGCCGGGCUCUCCAGGCGAACGCGAGAAAGCGAGGCGGCGGCGGCCACUUGGGGAACUUUUCCCCCCUCGCCUGGAAUUUCAUAGGAAACACAUGCUCUGGAGAAGCUGGGGCCCGGGGGGGAGGGGCGGGAAUUUUCCGCUCCGUCUCGCGCGGCGGUUCGGGCCCCGGUCCCGCCAGGCUCCCGGGCGCUCCGACGAGGCGGAGGCGCCCCUGGCGGACGCGGCCCCGGGCCACUCUGCAGGGACCGACCCCGGGGCCUCGGGGAGCGCGGGGAGAGCAGGAGCCCGGUGGAGAAGGCAGGGAGCCCCGGCGAGGCGGCGGGGUCCAGCCUUACCUUGGUGGUUUUCCUCUGGAAUGUACAUCCUCGUAUUCUCAUUGACCAUGGACCAAAAAUGGUUUUCAAAGGAGGAGCAGCCACGAAGAGGAAGAAAUGUGAAAACACCCCCCAGCGGGUCUGGAUUAAUCCCUCCUCCGAGGCCGGCGGCUUUCGUGCAAGAUUCGAGGAAGCCGUGGUCUGCAGUGUUUCUUCUUCCCUGCCGACGAUUACCUGAUUCCCAUUAUGGCAUCAAACCCCAAAAACUGCUCCUUUCCACUACUGCCUCCUCGAGUGAAAUUGUAAUGCAUCCUCAGUACAUCCGGGCCCCUUCCAAGAAUUGA